This 88-nucleotide small nuclear RNA is filed under the name Sciurus vulgaris (Eurasian red squirrel). Its description in RNAcentral is "U5 spliceosomal RNA (ENSSVLG00005008572.1)". It matches the Rfam family "U5 spliceosomal RNA", at positions 1 to 89 of the family's 117-position model. From Rfam's summary of the family: U5 RNA is a component of both types of known spliceosome. The precise function of this molecule is unknown, though it is known that the 5' loop is required for splice site selection and p220 binding, and that both the 3' stem-loop and the Sm site are important for Sm protein binding and cap methylation. The record is from Rfam by way of RNAcentral. Lineage: Eukaryota; Metazoa; Chordata; Mammalia; Rodentia; Sciuridae.
UACUCUGGUUUCUCUUCAGAUCCUAUAAAUCUUUUGCCUUUUACUAAAGAUUUCCAUGGAGAGGACCAAAAAAAAAAAAAAAAAAAAA